This 709-nucleotide long non-coding RNA is filed under the name Anser brachyrhynchus (Pink-footed goose). Its description in RNAcentral is "lncRNA (ENSABRG00000015115.1)". The record is from RNAcentral. Lineage: Eukaryota; Metazoa; Chordata; Aves; Anseriformes; Anatidae.
AUGUCCAAUGUCAUGUUGCAGAAAUUUCUAUUUAAGCAUUGCUCUGUAUUCAGAGGAAGCUCAGGUGUUUCUUUUUUUCUCCAGCCAUUUAGAUGUCAAUGCUUAUUAAACCCUGUCAGAGCCCUGCAUGCACUAACAGUCUCUAAUUGCCCUGGCCAUCCUCAGCUGGGGCCUCCAUUUAAGCUCAGGUCUGGGCUGCAUCAACAGGCUCUGUGUUCCUUUGUCUUGCAAUUAAAUAACACAGUUAUAUAUAACUUACCAUCCCUCCCCAAAAGAGUGGUAAGAAGAGAUAACAUGAAGAAAAUUUCCAUCCUUGAUCAUAUCAUCGCGCACUGGUAUUUCUGUAACAAAGAAGACUCAUACAUCAGAGUUGGAAGUGUGCAGGUAUCCUGCUGUUCAUGCUACCAGUGCCUUUUAAGUUUGUUUUUGUCCUUGCUUGAUUUUGGAUCGUGUCAAUAGUCUGUCAGAUCUCCAGCACCGAGCAUGUGAAAUGUGACAGAACGUUGUCUCGUAAAUUGGGAUGACUGUAGCCUGUGCAGUGUUGUGGUAAGUGAAAUAAUUACGAGCCAAGACAUUACCAUGUUACUGACAGGACCAACUAAUGCAAAGCUGGUUCUUCCUUAGAUUGUCCUUCUGUCUCCAUCAGAAAAUGAAAGGGAAGGGAGCGAGGUGGCUGGAUAUGAAAGAAACGGAAUCAGUCCUGCGAGUA